GGGUGCAUGAAGUCUGGUGAAGUAUUCUCAGAACCGAGCCAUAAAUGGUACGAACCAGAUUGGUGGAAAUUUGGUGAUAAAAAAACAUACUUCCGUCAUGCUUCCGGCGAAAUGUAUGUCAUAUCAAAAGCUCUGGCCAAGUUCAUUUCAAUAAACAGAUCCCUUCUCCGUUCUUACGCCCAUGACGAUGUCACGACUGGUUCCUGGUUUAUCGGGCUUGAUGUCACGUACAUUGAUGAGGGGAAGUUUUGCUGCUCUUCUUGGUCUGCAGGAGCCAUUUGCGCAGGUGUCUGAUUGCUUCGCUUGAAGAUCCUUGAUUGGAAAAG
RNAcentral lists this unclassified non-coding RNA (326 nucleotides) under Hevea brasiliensis (rubber tree). The record is from RNAcentral. Lineage: Eukaryota; Viridiplantae; Streptophyta; Magnoliopsida; Malpighiales; Euphorbiaceae.